AAUGAACGUUGGCGGCGUGGAUUAGGCAUGCAAGUCGUGCGAGAAUCGUAGCAAUACGAGGACAGCGGCGAAAGGGAGAGGAAUACGUGGUUACCUACCCUCAGGUUCAGGAUAGCUAUGGGAAACUAUAGGUAAUACUGAAUAAUAUCUCCGGAUCAAAGGUGUGAUUCCACCUGAGGAGGGGGCCGCGUCCUAUUAGCUAGUUGGUGAGGUAACGGCUUACCAAGGCGAAGAUGGGUAUGGGAUGUGAGAGCAUGAUCCCACUCACUGGGAAUGAGACACUGCCCAGACACCUACGGGUGGCUGCAGUCGAGAAGCUUCGGCAAUGGGGGCAACCCUGACCGAGCGACGCCGCGUGUGAGAUGAAGGCCUUCGGGUUGUAAAUCACUGUCAGUGGGGAGGAAAUGUUGGAGGGUUCUCCCUCCAAUUUGACCUAUCCGCAGAGGAAGGACGGGCUAAGUUCGUGCCAGCCGCCGCCGUAA
Molecule: ribosomal RNA, 482 nt
Filed under: uncultured bacterium
Lineage: Bacteria
Description: partial 16S ribosomal RNA
Rfam family: Bacterial small subunit ribosomal RNA
Source: RNAcentral